Molecule: ribosomal RNA, 455 nt
Filed under: uncultured bacterium
Lineage: Bacteria
Description: bacterial SSU rRNA
Rfam family: Bacterial small subunit ribosomal RNA
Source: RNAcentral
UACGGAAGGCAGCAGUGGGGAAUAUUGCACAAUGGGCGAAAGCCUGAUGCAGCUAUGCCGCGUGUAUGAAGAAGGCCUUAGGGUUGUAAAGUACUUUCAUCGGGGAGGAAAAACAAAACUAAUAAUUUUAUUUCUUGACGUUACCCGAAAAAGAAGCACCGGCUAACUCCGUGCCAGCAGCCGCGGUAAUACGGAGGGUGCUAGCGUUAAUCAGAAUUACUGGGCGUAAAGAGCACGUAGGUGGUUUUUUUAAGUCAGAUGUGAAAUCCCUGGGCUUAACCUAGGGACUGCAUUUUGAAACUGAAAUACUAGAGUAUCGUAGAGGGAGGUAGAAUUCUAGGUGUAGCGGUGAAAUGCGUAGAUAUCUGGAGGAAUACCUGUGGCGAAAGCGGCCUCCUAAACGAAUACUGACACUGAGGUGCGAAAGCGUGGGGAGCAAACAGGGAUUAGAUACC